GGUGCUAUAGCUCAGUUGGUUAGAGCGGUAGAUUCAUAUCCUACAGGUCCCAGGUUCAACUCCCGGUAGCACCACCA
RNAcentral lists this transfer RNA (77 nucleotides) under Campylobacterota bacterium. Its description in RNAcentral is "Epsilonproteobacteria bacterium tRNA-Met". It matches the Rfam family "tRNA". From Rfam's summary of the family: Transfer RNA (tRNA) molecules are approximately 80 nucleotides in length. Their secondary structure includes four short double-helical elements and three loops (D, anti-codon, and T loops). Further hydrogen bonds mediate the characteristic L-shaped molecular structure. tRNAs have two regions of fundamental functional importance: the anti-codon, which is responsible for specific mRNA codon recognition, and the 3' end, to which the tRNAs corresponding amino acid is attached (by aminoacyl-tRNA synthetases). tRNAs cope with the degeneracy of the genetic code in two manners: having more than one tRNA (with a specific anti-codon) for a particular amino acid; and 'wobble' base-pairing, i.e. permitting non-standard base-pairing at the 3rd anti-codon position. Lineage: Bacteria; Pseudomonadati; Campylobacterota. The record is from RNAcentral. RNAcentral also lists the same sequence under 1 other name.